GGUUGUAGCUCAGUGGUAGAGUGCUUACCUAGCAUGUGUGAGGCUCUGGGUUUAAUUCUCAGCAUCA
Molecule: transfer RNA, 67 nt
Filed under: Marmota monax (woodchuck)
Lineage: Eukaryota; Metazoa; Chordata; Mammalia; Rodentia; Sciuridae
Description: tRNA.Ala
Rfam family: tRNA
About the family: Transfer RNA (tRNA) molecules are approximately 80 nucleotides in length.
Source: RNAcentral